ACUCCUACGGGAGGCUGCAGUGGGGAAUUUUCCGCAAUGGGCGCAAGCCUGACGGAGCAAGACCGCGUGAGGGAGGAAGGCUCUUGGGUUGUAAACCUCUUUUAUCAGGGAAGAAGAUCUGACGGUACCUGAUGAAUCAGCAUCGGCUAACUCCGUGCCAGCAGCCGCGGUAAUACGGAGGAUGCAAGCGUUAUCCGGAUUUAUUGGGCGUAAAGCGUCCGCAGGUGGUUUUUCAAGUCUGCUGUUAAAGCGCAGAGCUUAACUCUGUAACGGCGGUGGAAACUGAGAGACUAGAGUAUGGUAGGGGUUGCGGGAAUUCCCAGUGUAGCGGUGAAAUGCGUAGAUAUUGGGAAGAACACCAGCGGCGAAAGCGCGCAACUGGGCCAUUACUGACACUCAUGGACGAAAGCUAGGGGAGCGAAAGGGAUUAGAUACCCCUGUAGU
RNAcentral lists this ribosomal RNA (444 nucleotides) under uncultured bacterium. RNAcentral describes it as "bacterial SSU rRNA". It matches the Rfam family "Bacterial small subunit ribosomal RNA", at positions 335 to 794 of the family's 1533-position model. The record is from RNAcentral.